RNAcentral lists this ribosomal RNA (433 nucleotides) under uncultured bacterium. RNAcentral's name for it is "partial 16S ribosomal RNA". It matches the Rfam family "Bacterial small subunit ribosomal RNA", at positions 29 to 507 of the family's 1533-position model. The record is from RNAcentral.
AACGAACGCUGGCGGCAUGCCUAACACAUGCAAGUCGAACGAGACAAUCGGGCUUGGUGGCGAACGCGUGGGCAAACGGUGGGAACAUGCCCUUAGGUCUGGAAUAACUCCCCGAAUGGGGUCCGAAAACGGGAUAAUGUCUCCGGACCAAAGGUUUAUCGACAUUGGUUGGGCGUGCGUUGGAUUAGCUAGUUGGUAGGGUAAAAGCCUACCAAGGGGACGAUCCAUAGCUGGUCAGAGAGGCAGGUAAGCCACACUGGGAGUGGGACACGGCCCGGACUCCUACGGGAGGCAGGAGUGGGGGAUAUAGGACUGUGGGCGAAAGCCUGAUGGUGCUAGGACGGGUGAGUGAUGAAGGCCGUAGGGUUGUAAAGCUCUUUUACCCGGGAUGAUAAUGACAGUACCGGGAGAAUAAGCACCGGCUAACUCCGUG